AUCUUUUUUGUGUUAGCCGAAUUUUACCGUCCAACUUUUCAAUUUAUUUGAUUUGAGUCAACUAACGAUAUUUUGACCUUAAAAUUUAAAUACUUUAUUUAUCUUUACAGAUUAAGUUAUAUAUCACAUAUAAUUCUCACAAUUAUAAAUUUAUUAAAGUAAAUAAUUAACUUAAAUUUUAAAAUUGAAGUAUUAUUGAUUAACUGAAAUCGAACAAAUUAAAAGAUUAGAUAGUAAAAAAAAUUUAAAAAAAAAAAUUAAAUGGUCGAUUUAAACUAAUUUAUAGUUUAGAUAAGCUCUCUACAUUGUUACCUAUUUAUUUUUUAGGGGCAAUUGUUUAUAUAUUCUUGAAAAAUUUUCGAUUAUCUAAUUUACCCAUCUUAGAAUGCUAAUAUUAAAAAUACAUUUUUUACGCUCUAAGUAAUUUCAAAUUAUAUCUAUAGAGUUAAAUUCUAGCAAAAGCCAUUAUCUCUGUAAAAUUACUAUUUUUUCCUUUCAAAUAUACCCUUCUAUAAUUACCACCUUUUUUAUUUGCCCUUAAAUUAGGAGUAAAAGAAAUAUUUUGAUUUUUGGUCUUUUCAACUAUACCUCUCUAUUAUUACCAAUUUUUCUUAUUUGUGCUUAAGUUAAGGGCCAAAGAGAUAUUUUAUUUUUUUUAAACUCUGAUAGGAAUUUAACUCAAGUUUAACCCGAAAUAAGUUAACGGAUAGUAACUACGGGAGUAUUUUUGAAUAACAGAUGAACAUAUAAGAGAUAUAUUAGAAAUAAAAAAAUAAAAAUAAAUUAAAUAUUUUUAAAAUUUUGAGAGAGAUUUAUAUAUAGAUAAUUAUUUUUAUUUUUUUAUGUCUUAAUGUUCACAUAGCUAUG
Molecule: long non-coding RNA, 867 nt
Filed under: Ananas comosus (pineapple)
Lineage: Eukaryota; Viridiplantae; Streptophyta; Magnoliopsida; Poales; Bromeliaceae
Description: long non-coding RNA (ACOM_LNC012874)
Source: RNAcentral